This 10649-nucleotide long non-coding RNA is filed under the name Toxoplasma gondii VEG. The record is from RNAcentral. Lineage: Eukaryota; Apicomplexa; Conoidasida; Eucoccidiorida; Sarcocystidae.
UCUGAUUAUAACAUGGCAGAUGCUCGAGCCUACGCAACGAGACACACUGCGCUCAUAUUUCCUCCAUCCAUGCUCGAAAAGUAGCACAGAGUAUCAUUUACUUCUCUGACGAGCAAGUAUGGAAUAUUUACGAGAACGAAGCCUUCAGCUCCGUGUGUUGUCACUGUUUUUUCACAGCGAAACUGACUCGGUCAUAGAUGCGUCUCGAGUAAACCAGGCCGCUACUAUUGAUUCUGAGAAUUCCAGAGCAGCACAGUUGCCCUGCUGAAUUUAACAUUCAUUCUGAAGCCAUUACCUCCUGACUGCGUUCCCUUUCAGCCACUGUGUUCGACGCCCAAUCACAAAAGGCCAGAGCCUUCAGUGCGUGUGACCUUUUGCGUAUCCACUGUCGCGCAAGAUCGUCUCGUGCGAGUGAAACCGCCACGUCCAUGCACCGGCGCCUUACUACUGUAAGCCUACAAACAGAGGAGGCUCAGAGCCAAAGACUUUUUCGAACAUGUGAAGAAUCAUGUUUCAGACUAAAUUAGCGAUAGCCGGCUUGGUAAGGGACGAUGAGGGCAACUUUAUUCCAUUUCAGAGAUGGGUAUUUCGGGGCGCAAUCCAGUUGGUUCUUAACAUUACGCAGUCUGUCAAGCGCUAAUACAGGGAAGUGCGAAGAUCUACGCGCCGUACGGCUGCUGGCACAGGCCACUUUUAUAGCGUUUGCAACGCUUUUCUUACCUCCAGCACUUGAUUGUGCGACGGGCCAGGAACCCCGAAAGGAUACUUUUUGCUUCGUUCACUGUCACACGUGUUGCCUCUUUUGCAAUGCAGAGAGCCUCUAAUGCAGCACCUGUCAAACGUCUUUUUCUGUAGGUGAGUGCCCGGGUACGCAGUUGCUGCUGCUGUCUGCGCGCCUCCGCACUAGCAGCCGCGUCUUCUUGCUGUCGUUGCUUUUCACGUUCCUGUUGCUCUUGAAGGAGGACUCUCUUCGCUUUCCUAAGCAAACAUACUCGAUCGAAUUUGCACUGAAUCUGGACUUAGCUUCGAAAGAAAUUUAUAUUCGACGUGGUCCAGCUUUCUUGCACAUCAUGACAAGCGGAAGUUAAGUGGUAGUGCCUCGUCUGCUGGGCUGACCAACGCGAACCUUCCCUUCAUCAAAAUGGUGCGGCUAUAGAAGUAGAGAACAGAGCACCGCACUGGAGUCAAAGCGGCUCCAAAUCUGUCGUACGUCUGCAUAGUCACCAUCGUCAUGACGCAACCAGUGGACGCAUCUGCUGCAUCACAACGAAUUUUGAGGGUAGGCUCAUUUCACUGGCGGUGGUCCCCUAUACCGUAAAUAAGAUGUUCUGAACCGACAUACAAUCACCUGAAAUCCGUCUCGACGGCGAUGGAUCAAUUUCUCUCCGCUCAGCCGAGAUGCACUCAUAAAACGUAUGUGCGUACUAACUUUUCCAGCUCUUUGUGCCGAGCGAGCGCCUCCGCCUUCCUACAGAGAAUGGUCACACUCAAGCCUAGUUCAGCAGCAGAGCUAGUAUUGCGGGAACUCGGGCAGCAGCACCUGGAGCGGUCGUGUCUCUUUCGCGCAACGUGCAAUGGAGGCAAAAUGUAGUCUGCGUUAGGUUGCGGGUGCAAUCCUGUCUUUCCUGUUGCUGCGGAGCCACGCGGUAAUAUUCGCAGCCUCGCAUAAACUGCAGAGUCCCCCGUAAGACCGAUUUAGUGGAUACGGAUUUCAAGCCAUACGCGAACUUUGUUUAGUUCACCCCAUCUUCCCCUCCCCUUAAUCUACGUCGUUGUACAACCCCUUCUCUAGAGUCUUCGUCCUACCUGAGCUUUAGCUGUGCCAGUCGCUGCCUCCUUUCUUCUGCCCUUGCUUGCAUUCGAACUACAAACAUAUAAGAGUGCGUAGGUUUUCUUGUCGAUUCCCUGAGCUCUGGCAGCUGUGAUCUUUUGGGGCUGCCGGACACCAAACCUGUGGCAGGGUUCCGCGACACUAUACGGUCCAGAAAACGCGGACUGUAGAAAUUGAUCAUCGCUUGUUUGCUACUCAGGCUGGUUUCGGGCUUUCGCUGGCCAGAACGGCGUCCUGCGACCGGAUAGACGAGGUGCUUUUCCCCGGCGUUUGAUCGAGCGGAAAGUGCGUCCGCGGAUGCAGCUGAGCAGGUACUCGCGUCGAACGACCCAGGCUUGAGCCUUAGCAUGAGGUGCCCGGAUGACAUUUUGGGACGGUACACGCUCCGUCGGGCCCCCUCACUACACAACAUUGCAUGGAUAUUUUGACCUCUGGACCGCGGCGGGAUGUCUUCCAAACGCUCCCCAAGGUGAGGCUCUCCAAAGGUCUCUGAUGAGUGGUUUCGCGAGCCUGUUUCACAGCCGAAGACUUUAAGAGAGCACAACAAGGCAGUGUUGUUCACCCACGGAUGGUACACCAUCGGCUGUGCUUGCGUCGCCGACGUCCGUCUCUCGGCUUCGCUUUCCGCUGUCCGGUUGUGUGUCGGAAGUGUGGCAAUCGUCGUGACACCUGUGGCGAGAUCCCGUUUUCCGGUUGUACAUUGCUCUUCAAACGCGCAAACGGUGACGGCAGGCACGGGAGGUCUGCUGGCUGGCCCGUUCGUGUCACGUUGCACUGGCCUGUCAUUAUAUUGACAGACCGCAGGCUGUGCGUUUGACAUGAUGUCUAGUACACACAGCUUCCUCGCAAUGGUAGUGUCCGUUAAUAUACUCUGUUCCAACAGGGAUGCUGAUUCUGCAUCCUCUCGAGAAGAUCCCUCUAUUGAAGGCGUUUCAGAGUCAUGCGAAACAGAUGAAGGAAUGCAACACAAGGCAGCGCUCUGUCGCGCAGCUGAGAGAAGAGCCUUCCUCGUUAUUUCUACCGUUGCCCUGAGUUCAGUUUUCUGCUGGUCAGGCACUGGCUGAUCAACCGAUGCUGUUUGAGGGGAAGGCUCCCUCGGCACUGUGAUCUGAAUGUGAGGUGCCACAGGAGCUCGCGGUGAGGUAUGCUUGCCUGUUGGAGAUAUCGGAAGUCUACCUGCAGCUGGUCUCAACUCUCGAUGGGUCUCAUGCGUUGGGGAUUUGCUGACACUAGCAGAGCAAUUCUUUGAGGCAUUCGGACAGCAUCUGUGGUCAGUGCAAGGCGCGCACAGUGUUGGGAGGGAGCUCAGUUUGUCACAAGGAGGGGAAAGCGAGAAAAGUGUUGCCGACUGCUGUAGGUGACUUGGUUUCGAUUCAGCGGCUACAUGUAUCUGGCAGGAGAUAGGGAGCUGAGACAAAGACUCAAGGGACUCCGAACGUCCUGCAAAUGAUUCUUGUUGUGUCUGAGCGGCGCAAGGAGGGCACAAAAUUGAAUCGAACGAAUUGGCGAAGUUGUGGGCUCGUCCACAUGGCUGAGAGAAAGGUGUGGUCAUGGAGGCAGACUGUGCCUUUUCUGGAGUUUCGCCAAUCUCAUGUCUUUGAAGCACUUUCCCCUCUCUUCCCGGCGUUGCCUUUUCUUCCGUCUUUGGCAUCUUGUGAACACAACUUUUUCCAGAAUGGACAGGUUUACGCGUUGCAUAGGCCGACGAACAAGGCGAAUUAUCGAAAGGCCUCUUUGGCGCAGAGAAGCCAGUUCUUAGUAACUCAAGUGCCACUGGUUGGGUACGUUCAUUCAUGAACUCGUGCGGCGACAGAGACGUGUUGUGACGGAGUUGCGCAAGAGCUCUGGCGCAGAAAAGCUCAUCUUCCAAAAUCGACAGGAAAGAUGCUGCUGAACUCCUCGAGUCUGAGCGAAGUCCACCGCCCUCAGUUUGAAACUGUCCUGAACUGGACAUCUUGCAUUCGGCAAUCUUCCCUGCUGCGGUGAUGGAGGCAUUUUCCCAGCUGGAGUCGAGGGUGCAAGAAUCAUCGGCAACUCCAGGUGUGGAGGAAUCCGGGAACGGAGUAGACGAGCUUCCCGGCGGCAGAUAACGGCGGAAGGGCUUGCCCUCCAUAGGGGAAGCCUCUGCAGGGGACUGUCCCGACGGCCCUAAAAGCUGACUGUCAGACUGAGGGAUACUGCGGGUUUCCGGAAGCGAAAAAGACGAAUUCUGUUUCUGGUAGUAAAGCGACGAAGAAGCCUUGGUCAGGGGCGGCUUCAUUACUACAGAGGAGACAGCGGCACAGCAACAUGCGACUGCUGUGUCGAGCUCAGGCUUCGACAGAGACCCCUGGGGGAUGCACGCACCAUCAUAAGAGGCUGCAUCAGCAGUUGUACGGGAGGGUUCCUUGGAGCAAGGCAGUGGCCGCCAAAGGGAAUCUUCCGCGUUGUGAAGCUGCAUCGCGUGAGGAGGUCGACAACGAAUGUUACUCUUCUUCGUACUGUCCGAUUUGGAGGCCGGCUUGUGGGAAUCUCCACAUCCGGUAAACGACAGAUGAAUAGAUUGCUUCUUUUUUGUAUCAUGUGAUGCACCGGACUCUUCAAGACGGUCGCAGGGAAUGCAUGCCGAACCGGCCGACGAGUCUUCAAGAAGAGAAUCGGCUGCGGCAUCGGCGUCUCGUACUGCGGCGUGUGCUUGUGCCAACACAGCGCCGACUUCCACCAGGACAGUUGUAGUUACGGCAGACGGAGCAGGUCGGUAUGGCGACUGCUCGCCGGAACGCUUGCCGUUUCCAUGCGCAGCACAUUCGCAGAUGCCCCGAGGUGACACUUGAAGUGAUCCUUCUUCCACUGUCCCUUCAUUCUUAUCCAGUGCCUUGUCCUUCUGCGGGCGCGAUGGUGUCGACGAAGAGCGUACAGCUAGUUGGUCAUACACCGGUGACCCUUCGUCCACCGUACAGUCAUGAGGAGAUUCGAAACCCGUCACUGUCACUUUACCAGUAUCUGUUGAUACGUUGAGAUAUGCCUGCUUGAAAGGGCCCUCAUAUCCAACACUUCUGAGCGAACGCGUACUCGAUGUGGCUUCAGUUUCACGUUCUAACGUGAGAGUACGAAUCACGGGGGCUGACAGUGACGUCUUCAUGCGCUUGUUCGCUGCUUGUUCAAGCGAUAACCAUUUGCAGACAGUACUCGAUGCGCAUGGAGACGCGCUGGUGAGUUGAUCUGGUCUGCCAUCAGAAGGCUCAUAAGGCGACGUGAACGCAUGUUGAAUGUUACGGAUAUCUGUACCGUUCAUACUGCCCAGAACGCCAGCCAAUGUAGGCUGACCGUCGCACCGGUAUGCCGCGUCGGACUCUUUAUGCAAAUGCUGUUGCUCGUUUUCCUCUAGAACCGGAUGCUGGGGUGAGAUUCUUACAGAACACUCUGACACGGAAGGUGCGGCAGAUACUUCAGGGGUGUUGUUCUUCGGUACACUGCAACUGCCCAAAAUUGCCCCAUCGCCUGCGUCCUUGGGAACAGCACUUGACUCGGACAUCUGUGGCGUGACUCCAUCCUCACAGAAGGCUAAUCGAAGUGGCAUUGACGCUUCGGCAGAGGCGAGAGUAGCAGCUGAAAGCUCGGAGGUGAUACAGUCAACCGCCCAAGAAGACACUAGCUCCAGAGAGGCAGGCACCAAAGGAUGGAGCAGUGGCGAGGGUGGAGAAGUUGGCGCAGAGGUCAGAGUGAUGGAUCGCCGCCCUUCAUUCGUUUCCUGGAGGACAGUUUCAGUAUUUCUUGCUGCAGGGCUCACGGCUACGCAGUUACUCUGAGAAACGGUUUCCAAGGAGUGAAAAGAAGCAGAGACGGCCGUGCUUUCUCCUGAGAAGUAACGAUUGGUAAAUUGAGCCGAAGAAGACGGUGGCAACGCAGACAAAUACAUUUCAGAUUCUGAAGAAUUUUCCGACAAGCGGUUACACGUUGCACCUGAUGGAGCAAAGUCAGGCUUUGGUUGUACCCGUGUCUGACGUGCAGGAUCUAUUCCAUCUCCAUCAGAGCCGGUGUUGCACGAGGCUCCUGGUUCGCGUGCUUCACCGUCUGCAGUAUCCAGAACCACCUGUGAAGACCGUAUCAUGCGGCAUGUUGCGUUGCCGUUUGAUUCUGCGUUACAACGCUUUGUGAAUAUGUGGUGGGGAGGACUCGUUGACAUGCAUGGAGAGACAGAAGACGGCCGUCCUAGACGAUGUGAGAAACAAACCAAAUCGCUCGAGUCAGGAAUCGCGGGUGGGGUCGCCGCCAGAUUUGGAGGAGACUCUACACUUGUGUCUUUCCCCUCCAUAGGAGCGGGAACUGGCAGAGAGGUAGGCGGAGCCUGUGCACUAUGUGGAUGACCAGGAGAAACACGAACCGGCGAAGACGGGGCGACGUUAUCACCGAGGAUCUGCCGAAGACGCUGCCGCGGAUCCUGAGUGGCCUGUUUGAUCAGCAUCUCUUGACGUUGAUGGCGAAGCUGGUACAGAGGAACAAGGAGACAUCUAGUUGGAUGACAUCUCAGGAAUCUUCCGUGUAAGGCAAAUAGCGGAUGCGUAACGCAAGGGAGAACCUUACGCUUAAUCUGAAACAGACGAGUUAGGAUUCUGAACUGGUGGAUUUUUAUUGGCUGUCGAUCCCUUACCAGUUCGAGCUUUUUCCUUUGACAAAACGAAAUGAACUCUCGUCCAAAUUCAAGCAGUUUGCGUCGCAGAAUCUGCAUGCCACAUACAUACCACGUAAUGCGUCCCACGUUGACAGUUGUAGGCUGGAGGUCUGCCACAAGCACGACCUUAGAGCCCAGAGAGUGAUCAGGUCCGAUGUUCAGACGGGCCAACAGAAGAAGGUAAAGGUGCAUGGCAAACUUGAAGGCUUGUGAGCAUGUUUUCGUAUUGCCCACAAUGGCCGACGUCACCGGGGUCUGGAUCUGACUUUUGGCAGACAUUAUUUGUGAAGCAGUGACCUCAUCGAAGAACAAUUAUGAACGUAGCUCACUCGUGCAAUCCAGCGGCCCAGUACGCGGCAGGCUGCAGCCUUCAUCUCCUCAAUCACCAUGGUGUUUCCUUCUGUUGACGCAUAUGUUCUACUUGGCUUCCCGGUAGUGUUCCUGAUCUUCGUUUUCACCGAUUGUUCCGUCUCUACUACCGCUUCAGUAGUACAUUGUUGACCUUCAGCGACCUUGUGAAGUGGUGGUGGCUCCCUUGGUCGCCCUCCUGCAACAACUCGAGUGCUCGACGCGUUCGAGUUGGUGAAUCCGACUCGUGGUUGACCCCUUUUGGUGGGUGCGUGUUCAACAUCCUGUGACAGUUGGAUGCAGUUUCUCUCAUGCGGCAUCUCCGCUGCAGACACUCGAGGCGGGCGCUGUUGUGCUCUGGCUGAAGGUUUCGAAGACUCCGGCAAAGUUGGUAAAGACUGAGAAUGAGGUGAAGGUGCUUCGGUUUGAAGGGGAAGAUCUUGGCUGCGAUGAAGUGAUCCGGUUCCUACAAUUCUACUGACAGCACGGGUAGUUGCGUGUAUUAUUGGCUGGAGUAGUGUAUCUUUGUUGAUCGUUUCGGUCUGCCUCUGAUACCUAGCGGCAUGCGACUGCUUUUGUCGAAGGGCUGAAAUGUCGGAAGCAGACAAUCGUGCGAGAAAGGAAGAAAUAAUUCCACACGUAUUUCACAGGCCCAUUUACGGAUCCUAUGAACUGUGAAGAAAAAGCAUCAGGUUUGGGGCACCACUAAGACAAAGUGAAGUCACGGCUCCGAGGUUGACGCACUAUCUUCACCUUGGCUCCGUUUGGUCCGCGUCAGCCGGUAGUUUGUGCAUGAGGUGUCAACAAUGGCUACUGCCAUCAAGAGACACCGAUAACAGUCCUAAGCACAGCUAUACCAUCAGUAACUCGGCUGCCACAUUAUGUUGCGUGCAACGUAGGCCUCGAUCUGGCCAAAUAUUCAUCGGUCUGUUGCUUCAUCAAGCCGCUCACUGUUGAGGAUUUCCAGUACUCUUACCAGAGGUACGCGUGGUGCGGGGUCGCUGCAGGGACCACGGACGGUUCGGCCGUGGCAGCUGUCGUGAGCUGUCUGUCGACGUAUGGUCUGGACGUUUUUCAGCGCCAUUCUGACUUGUCGGUCCUUGUACAUGUAUGCGAGUAGUUAUCAGAUAACGCGUGUUCUGCUUGAUUUCUGUACACGCCACGGAGGGCUGCUGGCAUAAUCUGGUACACUGGCCACGUUUGCGGCCUAAUAACUCUUCACGGGGACAGGCUAUCCCCGAAAUUGAACCGAAUUUUGGCUGCUCCUCGCCAUUACUGCAGCCGGCGGAAGCAUCAGGAAAAGCUGGAAUACACUUGUGAUUAUCAUUGCUUGGAGGUCGGGUUGCUCUGCGAGAUGAACCUUCGCGAGUCAUACUCUGGUUCCGCGACGCAAAUUGGCCAAGGUUUGCCCGUCUUGGCACUCCUUUCCCAACAAUUGUACCGCUUUCAGAGGCUUCAAAGGAUCCAGUGGAAGUUGGAUCGAAGCAAGAGGUACGAAGGUGGACGGGUAGGUCGAGUCCGACGCUAGGGGACAGUGGCGAGACAGUCUGUUGCUUAAAACGAAGUGCGUGCUGGGGAGGAGCUGAAUUAGCCGUCGCUGAGGCUCCUUUCCUACCUCGGCGUAGCCUCUCUUUCAGAGGCCCAAAUGGUGAUUCAAACAAAAUUGCGGAUCUUAGUACAUCGCCCACUCCGGAGGUUGACGACCGGCUUCUGGAUGCGCUAGUUUUUGUGGCGCUAAGACGGGCUCCUCUUUCUGUGAAGCGCGUGUCACUUUUUCCGCGAGUCCCGAGAACGGCGGCGCGAAUGCCCGCUGCAAUGUCCUCUGUCUUAUCGAAGCUGGAAAGCAAGCUGUGAACGACGCCAAUUUGCUUUCCUGAAUGGGUUGUUGGCUCUAAAUUUCGCACACCAAAGACAGAAGAGGUCGCUUUAUUCCACUUUCCACCUUGUUUCCUGCCCCUCAUUCUUGCCAAAGAACGAGGCGAUUUGUUCACCCUAUUACGCUGUUGUGGCGUGUUAACCUCCCUCUCAGAGCAGCCCACAGCGGACGACAAGCGUCGUUGUUCAGGAGACUCCCGGCGACAAUGAGGUGUGGGGCUCAAAGAAAACUCACCUCCGUCUGAAUCCAUGACUGGAGACUGCAACGGUUUCCGAAGACUCGGCGAUUUUACAAAUAGUGGGCCCGAGUCUGCAGACAAACCAUCCAUCGGGUCGACAUUGUCUAUUUUUACAUGGUGUUCUACUCGGACAGAAUCGGAGUCUCAUGCUGAGCUGCGUUUCGUUUUAGGAAUUAGUCACAUCCAGUCACAAAACGGCACGAUGGCGGUUCCGCGUGGCUCGACACCUCUGGUCCAGCGACCCUUUCCUCACCUCGCAAGUAUUUCCCUAGCAAGUACUUUGCGUCGAACAGAGUAGGGGAGUUUGGAGAUGAUCGUCCGUCAGGAGUUACAGUAAUUCUCAUGGAGCAGCCUUCGUGAUCCCGAGUAACCGAUGACUCCGUGGACGACUCGGCUGAGGAAGCUACCAGACGAAGCCGCAAGUUUUAGAUUGCCAGAUAUAUUGAUGGGAGAUUUGCAGUUAGUGCCAUCGAUGUACGCUACGAGAGAAGCAAAUCUGCUGCGUCCACGCUCGAUGCCGCUGCUCGCCCACCCCAUGUCUGGUCUAUGCUUGCCUGUGUACGUUGGUAUAGCUUGCUGCUCAGAGCUGAUCCACAGGAAAAGUUUCACAGGAUGCACGACCCUGUCAGUUGCACCGCGCAUCAUGUGGUAACGAUUGUUCUUUUUCACAAUCGUUAGCUGAAAGACUCUCGGUUUCAAAGGACGUCCAUCGUGCGUUUUUUCCUUACUGAACGGACUGUCGAGCCACGACGCCUUUAGCAUGCUCCAUCUUUUCUGUGCCUGUUUUCCCCUUUGCCAGCUUCUGUGUACACCUCCUACUUCAGCCAGUGAUGAACCCGCUUCUGGUCUGUAUGCUGCAAGUAGGUCAAAUUGAGGAACGGCCACCGGGCUUCCAGAUCCGGCGGACACACGCCUAGUCGUUACAGGGCUUGUGCAGGCGUCAUCGACGAACGUGAGGCUGGGAGUUAGCAUUUUUGGGGAGGUGCAGGGGACAUCAAAAUACUGAUGACAAAUGCAGAGGGGCCGUAGAGCUGAGUCGGCGAGACACUGGAUCUCUUGAAUUCGUCCAAUAUGUGUUUUUGGGAGCAACUAGCUCGAUCGUAACAGCGUAGGGCGACGGCUGCAGGUUUGCCUGCACUCUCCUUUUAUUGUUGCUUUCGCAUUUCCUAGACAGAUCAUUUUUGUGCUAAUGUUCAGUAAAUAAUCAGCUACUCUUAGGUGCUACGCAGGCCAGACAGGCGUAAUUCGGUUAACACUGAAUCGCUGAUUUUUUCGCAGCUGCUUGGAUCGACAUAUAAUGUGAUGCGUCACAUCCUUUUGCCUUGCCCAACACUGAACUCUUCGAGGACUAAGUUAAAACGACACCGAAAGAGAAAUGAGCCAGGACAUCAAGAAUUCUCUCAGGGACGGACGACUCGGAGAAUUCCUAAAUCGCAGACACUGUGACUGACCACACCUCCCGUCCUCAUGUAGAGCACUGCGUUUCCGAGGCAUGGACAGAAAAGACUCUGCGUGGAGGGCUUUUGCGAAAAGAAAAAUGACUCAUACUAUCCGACUCUCUAUCGUUCGAAAUCAAGCAGUAAAAGAUCAUCUGGACACGGAAAUCCGGUGCCCCAAAUUACUUUGCAAUCCAGUAGGGCAAACUUGCGCUCAAAGCGCGGAGGAUUGCAGUUCUCUCAAAAGCGACUCCAAAGUUUCGUUUCAG